GGUACCAUUAUGUUCUGUGGUAACAGUGAUAGCAGACACUUGUUUGCCUAUGAUGGCACGGACGUGCGUCGAACAACCCGAUUCAGUGCCUCUGCAGGCCCCACGACUGUGCAAAGGUUGUCUGUGUUUGUACAGUAAAGGCUGUAUAAAGGCCCGAUGAAAGAGAAUACAUUGAAUAUUCAUCAGAAACAGCAUCACCAUCUGUUGCUCUGAUAUUGUUGUUGGUAUUGUUGCUUCUCCUGCUGCUUUUUCCAGCACCCUAUUGCUGGCCUAGAGAGGCUGGCUGAACGCUACGGUAACAUCUACAGCCUUUUUAUUGGUCCCAGGCCUGCGGUUGUUAUCACUGGGCUGCAUGGCUUAAAGGAGGCCCUGGUCCACAAAGCUGCUGACUUCUCUGGCAGACCACAACACUUAAUGUACAAUCACGCUGCACAAGUGAAAGCUCACGCUCCAGGAGUGGUUUUAGCAGAUUACAGUUCUGGUUGGAGCACAGACGCUUCGGCCUGAUGACCCUGAGAAACUUUGGUCUGAGGAAACAGUCCAUGGAGCAGAGGAUUCUCGGAGAAAUACAGCACGCUGUGAAGCUUCUGCAGGAAAGUGUUGGCGUGCUUUUCUCCAGCAGAGAGUAGGACCACAGACCCUCAGCUGCUGUUCCACACUGGAGACUCAAACAUCAUCUGCCAAGUUCUGUUUGCUGAGCGGUUUAGCUACGAGGAUGAGUUCAUCAAGUUUUCUGUUUGCCUUUUUCACGAGACAUUCAAAUUAAUCAACAGACGCUGGGGCACGAUUUAUGAGUGCAUUCCUGUGGUGCGCACCUUCCCGCUGCCUUUCCAGAAAGCUUUCAAGUAUUUCAGGGCAUGUUUUGGAAAGUUUUGAUUUGCAAAAGUUUUGCAAAUAAUCCUUAUUUUAUGUUUCAAUGCAGAGACAAUAGCAAAGCUG
This is a long non-coding RNA of Oreochromis aureus, 939 nucleotides long. The record is from Ensembl. NCBI's taxonomy places the organism in Eukaryota, Metazoa, Chordata, Actinopteri, Cichliformes, Cichlidae.